Molecule: ribosomal RNA, 2912 nt
Filed under: Enterococcus durans
Lineage: Bacteria; Bacillati; Bacillota; Bacilli; Lactobacillales; Enterococcaceae
Description: bacterial LSU rRNA
Rfam family: Bacterial large subunit ribosomal RNA
Source: RNAcentral
UUAAGUGAAUAAGGGCGCACGGUGGAUGCCUUGGCACUAGGAGCCGAUGAAGGACGGGACUAACACCGAUAUGCUUUGGGGAGCUGUACGUAAGCUAUGAUCCAGAGAUUUCCGAAUGGGGAAACCCAACAUCUUUUAUAGGAUGUUACGUUUGCGUGAAUACAUAGCGCAUUCGAGGUAGACGCAGAGAACUGAAACAUCUAAGUACCUGCAGGAAGAGAAAGAAAAUUCGAUUCCCUGAGUAGCGGCGAGCGAAACGGGAAAAGCCCAAACCAAUGAGCUUGCUCAUUGGGGUUGUAGGACUCCAAUAUGGUAGUUCUUUCAGAUAAUCGAAUGACUUGGAAAAGUCAGUCAAAGAGGGUAAAAACCCCGUAGAUGAAAUUUGGAAGGCACCUAGGAGGAUCCUGAGUACGGCGGAACACGAGGAAUUCCGUCGGAAUCCGGGAGGACCAUCUCCCAAGGCUAAAUACUCCCUAGUGACCGAUAGUGAACCAGUACCGUGAGGGAAAGGUGAAAAGCACCCCGGAAGGGGAGUGAAAUAGAACCUGAAACCGUGUGCCUACAACAAGUCAAAGCCCGUUAAUGGGUGAUGGCGUGCCUUUUGUAGAAUGAACCGGCGAGUUACGAUUGCAUGCGAGGUUAAGUCGAAGAGACGGAGCCGCAGCGAAAGCGAGUCUGAAUAGGGCGUUUGAGUAUGUAGUCGUAGACCCGAAACCAUGUGAUCUACCCAUGUCCAGGUUGAAGGUGCGGUAAAACGCACUGGAGGACCGAACCCACGUACGUUGAAAAGUGCGGGGAUGAGGUGUGGGUAGCGGAGAAAUUCCAAACGAACUUGGAGAUAGCUGGUUCUCUCCGAAAUAGCUUUAGGGCUAGCCUCGGAUUUGAGAAUGAUGGAGGUAGAGCACUGUUUGGACUAGGGGCCCAUCUCGGGUUACCGAAUUCAGAUAAACUCCGAAUGCCAUUCAUUCAUAUCCGGGAGUCAGACUGUGAGUGAUAAGAUCCAUAGUCGAAAGGGAAACAGCCCAGACCACCAGCUAAGGUCCCAAAAUAUAUGUUAAGUGGAAAAGGAUGUGGGGUUGCACAGACAACUAGGAUGUUGGCUCAGAAGCAGCCACCAUUUAAAGAGUGCGUAAUAGCUCACUAGUCGAGUGACCCUGCGCCGAAAAUGUACCGGGGCUAAACAUAUUACCGAAGCUGUGGAGUACACCAUUAGGUGUAUUGGUAGGAGAGCGUUCUAAGGGCGUUGAAGGCAGAUCGUGAGGACUGCUGGAGCGCUUAGAAGUGAGAAUGCCGGUAUGAGUAGCGAAAGACAGGUGAGAAUCCUGUCCACCGAAUGACUAAGGUUUCCUGGGGAAGGCUCGUCCGCCCAGGGUUAGUCGGGACCUAAGCCGAGGCCGACAGGCGUAGGCGAUGGACAACAGGUUGAUAUUCCUGUACUCGUUGUUUUUGUUUGAGCAAUGGAGGGACGCAGGAGGCUAAGGAAUGCAGACGAUUGGAAAUGUCUGUCCAAGCAGUAAGUCUUGAUAGGAGUCAAAUGCUUCUGUCUACACGGAUAAGCUGUGAUGGGGAGGGAAAUAAUAGUACCGAAGUUCCUGAUGUCACACUGCCAAGAAAAGCUUCUAGUGAGAAAACAAUGACCCGUACCGCAAACCGACACAGGUAGUCGAGGAGAGAAUCCUAAGGUGAGCGAGAGAACUCUCGUUAAGGAACUCGGCAAAAUGACCCCGUAACUUCGGGAGAAGGGGUGCUGAUCUUCGAUCAGCCGCAGUGAAUAGGCCCAAGCGACUGUUUAUCAAAAACACAGGUCUCUGCAAAAUCGUAAGAUGAAGUAUAGGGGCUGACGCCUGCCCGGUGCUGGAAGGUUAAGAGGAGUGCUUAGCGUAAGCGAAGGUACGAAUUGAAGCCCCAGUAAACGGCGGCCGUAACUAUAACGGUCCUAAGGUAGCGAAAUUCCUUGUCGGGUAAGUUCCGACCCGCACGAAAGGCGUAACGAUUUGGGCACUGUCUCAACGAGAGACUCGGUGAAAUUUUAGUACCUGUGAAGAUGCAGGUUACCCGCGACAGGACGGAAAGACCCCAUGGAGCUUUACUGUAGUUUGAUAUUGAGUGUCUGUACCGCAUGUACAGGAUAGGUAGGAGCCGUAGAAAUCGGAACGCUAGUUUCGAUGGAGGCGCUGGUGGGAUACUACCCCUGCGUUAUGGCCACUCUAACCCGCACCACUGAUCGUGGUGGGAGACAGUGUCAGAUGGGCAGUUUGACUGGGGCGGUCGCCUCCUAAAAGGUAACGGAGGGGCCCAAAGGUUCCCUCAGAAUGGUUGGAAAUCAUUCGAAGAGUGUAAAGGCAGAAGGGAGCUUGACUGCGAGACCAACAAGUCGAGCAGGGACGAAAGUCGGGCUUAGUGAUCCGGUGGUUCCGCAUGGAAGGGCCAUCGCUCAACGGAUAAAAGCUACCCUGGGGAUAACAGGCUUAUCUCCCCCAAGAGUCCACAUCGACGGGGAGGUUUGGCACCUCGAUGUCGGCUCGUCGCAUCCUGGGGCUGUAGUCGGUCCCAAGGGUUGGGCUGUUCGCCCAUUAAAGCGGCACGCGAGCUGGGUUCAGAACGUCGUGAGACAGUUCGGUCCCUAUCCGUCGCGGGCGUUGGAAAUUUGAGAGGAGCUGUCCUUAGUACGAGAGGACCGGGAUGGACUUACCGCUGGUGUACCAGUUGUUCUGCCAAGGGCAUUGCUGGGUAGCUAUGUAGGGAAGGGAUAAACGCUGAAAGCAUCUAAGUGUGAAGCCCACCUCAAGAUGAGAUUUCCCAUUUCUUUAAGAAAGUAAGAUCCCUGAGAGAUGAUCGGGUAGAUAGGUCAGGAGUGGAAGGCCAGUGAUGGUUGGAGCGGACUGAUACUAAUCGAUCGAGGACUUAACCAA